Long non-coding RNA from Thrips palmi, 554 nucleotides. RefSeq lists it as uncharacterized. NCBI's taxonomy places the organism in Eukaryota, Metazoa, Arthropoda, Insecta, Thysanoptera, Thripidae. The transcript has 3 exons. The record is from RefSeq and is a predicted model, not a curated record.
CCGUAAUUUCUCUCGGUGCUCAGUGCAGUUUGGCUUGCAUGGGGCUUAAGUGAGCAGUUCGUGUCGAACAAGCAGCGCGUCGUGUUCAUUCUGCUGCAUUUUCUUCAUUGAACAGUUCCGUGUGACAGAGAAAGUGUUAAGCUCGGCUUUUUACUCAGCAAGCUUUGUGUAAGAAGAUCUCUGUAACCUGUGGGGGUUUCUCUGGACAGUGACUCUUGUCCUCGUAAACACAGUGCAUUGAUGUGUUUGCUGUUUGGGAACAUUUCUUUCAGGGUUGAUAUCCUUGAGGGUGCAUCAGACGUUAAAGUGUCGCGUCCAGUGUCUCGACACUGGCUUUGACCAUCCCAUUUGCCCCUCUUGUUUCGGACAGCUGUACGAAAAGUGGGUUAGUGAACUGGCAAAGACGUCAGAUUAACCUUUAAGUGUCAACGGAUUACGAUUUCAAAGCGCGGCGCUAGCGCCAUGGCCCCCGAGUGACGCCGCUCUGCUCCGCACCGCUCCGCAGCAGCAAGGAUGGCGCUGGACGCUGCCGGGGUGGCGGGGCGCGUGGCGGG